GGAAACUGCCCACUACGAAGCUGAAAGCCAGGGCUAGGGCUCCGACGUGCCGGUAAUGACUUGUAGUUUGGAGAUCUGGUUUGCUGUAUGCCACUUUGACUGUACGCCCGCGCUAAAGCUCGGUAUCAAUAUGGACGCCCGGGGUGCUCAGGUUGGUUAACUAGGGCUGGACCGGGCCAGAGAGGAAACUCAACAGCCAGAAAAGUCCCGUGGAGUUGUGAUGGGAUCGCGCAUGAAGAGUGGGAGCUGCUUUGGGGCAGACCUGAAGUCCCCGGCGAUCCAAGCUACCGGCACGUUU
This 298-nucleotide signal recognition particle RNA is filed under the name Zootermopsis nevadensis. Its description in RNAcentral is "metazoan signal recognition particle RNA". It matches the Rfam family "Metazoan signal recognition particle RNA". Rfam says of the family: The signal recognition particle (SRP) is a universally conserved ribonucleoprotein. It is involved in the co-translational targeting of proteins to membranes. Lineage: Eukaryota; Metazoa; Arthropoda; Insecta; Blattodea; Termopsidae. The record is from Rfam by way of RNAcentral.